This 304-nucleotide ribosomal RNA is filed under the name uncultured bacterium. RNAcentral's name for it is "partial 16S ribosomal RNA". It matches the Rfam family "Bacterial small subunit ribosomal RNA", at positions 506 to 809 of the family's 1533-position model. The record is from RNAcentral.
CAGCAGCAGCCACGGUAAUACAGAGGAUGCAAGUGUUAUCCGGAAUGAUUGGGCGUAAAGUGUCUGUAGGUGGCUUUUAAAGUCUGUCGUCAAAUCCCAGGGCUCAACAAUAGACAGGCGGUGGAAACUACCAAGCUUGAGUACAGUAGGGGCAGAGGGAAUUUCCAGUGGAGCGGUGAAAUGCGUUGAGAUCGGAAAGAACACCAAUGACAAAAGCACUCUGUUGGGCUGACACUGACACUGAGAGACGAAAGCUAGGGGAGCAAAUGGGAUUAGAUACCCCUGUAGUCCUGUCUCUUAUACA